This is a long non-coding RNA of Equus caballus (horse), 2507 nucleotides long. The record is from Ensembl. NCBI's taxonomy places the organism in Eukaryota, Metazoa, Chordata, Mammalia, Perissodactyla, Equidae.
GGAAGUUUAGAACACCGUCGUGGAGAAGAAGGGUGUGCUCAACCCCACAAAUCCCGCUUUCCACUUUGAAAUCGAAGCUAUGCAAUUAACCCAUUCAUUGAAGGGUCCAAGUCCCUGGGACAUACACGUCACAGACAGGCUGUUCCUGACCCUCUGGGCAUCAGCAUUUAAAGAAGAGUCUUAACUGGUCCUAAGCCUCCUUUCACUCUGUAAUAAAACCCAGGGCCUCUUACUUGAAAUCCAGAAGUCUUCACAACGUGCAUGGCCCCGUGGUAUUACCGACAGAUGGCUGCUAAAAUCCCAAUGAGCUUGGGUUUCCUAAGGAGAAGAACUUGGCCUGGUCAGAAUUAUCACCAAAUACAUCACCAAUUGGAUAAGAAAGCUGAGGCUGAGAAAUUAAGCAACUUGGCCAAGAUUGCCCUGAGACCUAACUCCAAAAGUCCCUGCUCUUCACCCUUGACGCAAUCCUGUCACCCAUGAUGAGAGUGUAGUUUUUCAAACUGGCCAGUGGAAGUCUGCUCAGAGCACUAAAGCAUCUUUGUGCGAUUAUGAAGCUCCUAGGAAGAGGGGGGGCCAGGAAGGCUGAUGGAGAUCCACAAACCUAUUCACUGUGAGGUACCCAAGAGACCAACGGUAUGAACCCUCCCGGUGGACACACACCCAGAAGCAAGGCGCCUUCUGAUCCACCCUGAGCAGGCAGCUGCCCCCACCAGCUGGUCAGCCACACUUCCAGUUCCCAGAACCAACCUCCAAGAUCUCUGACCCCUGGCCGCCCUAGGGGUCCAGAGCCAAAGAAAAUGGAAGCAGAUGGGCAAAUGAUUUUGGAGGAACCUACUUCUUAUCUUUUCACCUUUAAGGCUGACCCAUAUAAACACAGAGUACAGUAGGACUGCCUUUAUUGCUGAGUAAUAAAUGUAGGGGUUAAAAAAAAUAUACAAAGACUACUGACUAUCAAGAACAAGAAACCGGACCUAAGAGUUCUGGCUCCCAGUCAAUCACCGCGCCACUGACUUACGCCCCACAGAGCACGCUACCAUGGCUAAUUUCUCUCCAGAUGGCAGCUUGUACUUUUCCAGGCAGAAUCUCAUCUCCCCAAGCUUUGCCUCACCUUUCUACAGCUCUUUGUAUUUUCCCAACGGCCUCUUGUGUGCAGAGGGCUUUGCAACACCUCCAAAUUUACUGCCACCUACAGAUUUAAUUAGCAGACUGUUUACUCCCCCUUCACUGUUUGGAAUAUCUUAAGUAAAACCAGGCCUCCACGGAGCCCACAGGGACUCCACCCUGGGCCUCCAUCCAAUCAGCUAAGAGUGUUUGCCCAGCUCCAACCCUGGGUCUGGCCCUUGUCCAAGGCAAGUCUGUGCUGGGAGCCAGCCACUGGGCACCAGGUGAGGGCCUUCCACCCCUGGGGUUGCCUGAGUGAGAGGAGACUGCAGAAGGAAGGGCCAAGGUGGUCAAAUAAAAUGAAGCAACACUCAGUUAAGGCAAGGCUUUACUGGUUAAAAGAAAGGGGACAGACAGGCCAGCUGGAGACACAUUUUUCAGGACUUCUCCAUGUGACCCAUACCUUAGAAGAAAAAGAAGCAGGAUGACAUGGAGGGAGAGAGAGAAUGAAAAAAAUGGAGAAAGCAGGACCAGAAGGGGAAGGAGAGCAGGAGAGAAGGAAAAAGAAUGAUCUGCUUUUUUAUUAACCAUUAACUACCUCAAUUAACAAAUAUAAUCUGAAUAUGCAUUUUAUGUACAAUAACACAGGAGUUAAAAAAAAUAAAACAGAGCCAGCCCUGAUGGUCUACAGGUUAAAGCUUGGUGCGCUCUGCCUCGGCAGCCCGGGUUCAGUUCCCAGGAGUGCAACCACACCACUUAUUUGUCAGUAGCCAUGCUCUGGUGGCAGCUCACACAGAAGAACUUACAACUAUACACAACUAUGUACUAGAGAUUUGGGAGAGAAAAAGGAAGAAAAAAGGGGGAAGAUUGGCAACAGAUGUUAGCUUAGGGCUAAUCUUCCCCUGCAAAAAAAAAUAAAUAAACAAUAAAUUUGACAAAUAAAUGAAAAAUAAAACAAGAUGUUGCAUCACAAGGAUUUUGGCAUCCAUCAGGGGAAACACACCAGCAACCAACAGCAAGGGGAACAAGUAUGAAACCAAAAGCAACCAAUGCAAACAGGCAUGUAGUUCCUUCUUCAGGGGAGCCAUUUAAUGAUGCAAGGACUGACGAAUUACUCUGGCUGGAGAGCAGGAAUGGGGAUUACACAGAAGCCUCCUCCUGAACCAACUAAAACCAGGCACAGUCCUAGACGCCCAGACCCAAACAGCACAACACUGAUGGCUUGCUAUGGAUACGACAAGCCAACGCGUGAAAUCUCGUCUCGAUACGCUGUGCCUCCCCUCCUUGGCUAUGCUACGGCUUGUAUGCUCUUGAUUAAUUUUUCCUAAACUAUUUCAAGGUUUUGUGACAACUCUUACUUCUUUAUUCUUAAGCUUUUAAAAGGGAGUCAAGCAAUUAAAUAUGCA